AAAAGCUUUAAAAAAAAGAAAGGAAAAAAAGGAGUAAGCAAAAAGAACGGACGAAGGAAAACAACUUUCGGGUGGUUUGAUUCCUCCUUUGAUUUCUUUUUCGGUUCUCUUCUGUCUGUCCUCUCUCCUUCCCUCUUUUCUCUCUCCUCUCUCUCCCUUUGCUCUCCUCUCUCCUCUCUCAAUCUUGUUCUUUCUGUGUCUCUCCUCAAACCAAAGUGUUGCAGUGAAGGACGCGAGCCAUUGAAAUCAGGGUGGGGCCUGGCAGCGCAGGGUGGCCCCCGCCCCUCACUGGGCAGGAGCAGAGGGAGGGGAGAGCCCUGAGACUGCAGGGCCGCGGCCUGGGCAGCUUCCACUUUCUCCUGGACACUCUUGAGGAGAGGCAGAUGGAGCCCCAGGCCUCAGCGUUCUUUUUUUCUUGUCUCCCUUCUCCCACCUGGGAAAUGAAACUGUUGGGCUGGGCCAUGGAGGCAGCAGAGACUCGGCCAUUGCAGGGGCCUCCGGGUGCCUUGUCCGGGCAGUGGUGGAGUGGUCGCCCCCCAACCCCUGGCACGAUGGGGCCUGGCACCUCGUCGACCCAUCCUCGCCGGAAUGUAAGCAUCUCUGCCGAAUGACUCCCUGCCCUUACCCUACCUCUGAGUUUGUCCAUGUUUAUUUCCUGAAGAGAGAAGGGACUGGCAAGAGGGCUUGGGCCCCAGCCCAAGGGUGGAGAGGGGGCCAAGGGCUCCUGACCAAAUAGGAAGGACAUGUGAGCAGAGCAAAAUGAAAGGAAUUACAACCAAAACCCCCUCCGAGAAGACAGGCAGCAUGGAAGGCAUGGUGGAGAUGACUCAAA
Molecule: RNA transcript, 832 nt
Organism: Sapajus apella (tufted capuchin)
Lineage: Eukaryota; Metazoa; Chordata; Mammalia; Primates; Cebidae
Exons: 1
Source: RefSeq, a predicted model, not a curated record